This 1758-nucleotide long non-coding RNA is filed under the name Chrysemys picta bellii (western painted turtle). Its description in RNAcentral is "lncRNA (ENSCPBG00000025059.1)". Lineage: Eukaryota; Metazoa; Chordata; Testudines; Emydidae. The record is from RNAcentral.
GAAAUGCAUCCUCUGACCAUUCCCCCUGUUUCCAGCAGGCCCUCAGUGAUCCAGCUCUUCAGGAAUCUCUUUGGGCUCGGGCAGAGCGCGCAGGAGGGCCCAGAAACCAGAGCAGACGCACGAGAGCAGGGUAACGUCGGGGACCUAGAAGAAAACAGCUCCCUGGUGCCUGCUGGGGCUGAGUCUGAGACCAGCCAGCCAGCAGGCAAAGAGCUAACGGGCGACCACCCGACUGAUGAGCCCCGUGGAGAUGCAACAGGCGACCGCAUGGGGGAGAUCCUUGGAGAGCUGAAGGAUAUCAGUCUUGGGGGCACCCCUUCCAGCCGUGGCAGGAGAUCCCCUCCUAUGCUGGACCCCAGUGGCAUGGAGAUGGGAGACUCCGGUGACUGGGCCUUGUCAGACCUCUCUGAGAGCGGUAGCUGCAUUGACGCCAGCGUGGAUGUGGAGGAGAAGCAGAACAUGGGAAGUGGAGCAACAGGGGAGCCGUGCGGGCAAUGCUCUGAGACAGGAGAUGCAGGAGGAGCAUCUGCUGAGAGAUGGCCCUUGGGGAGCAGGCCCUCGGUGCUCCAGCUUGUUAGGAACCUCUUUGGGCUCAGGCAGAGUGUGCAGGAGGGCCCAGAAGCCAGAGCAGAUGCACAAGAGAGCGGGGACGUCAGGGACCUAGAAGAAAACAGCUCCCUGUUUCCUGCUGGUGCUGAGUCUGAGACCAGCGAGCCAGCGGCCAAAGAGCUAACGGGCGACCACCCAACCGAUGAGCCCCAUGGAGAUGCAACAGGCGACCGCAUGGAGGAGAUCCUUGGAGAACUGAAGAAUAUCAGUCUUGGGGGAGUCCCUUCCAGCCAUGGCAGGAGAUCCCCUCCUAUGCUGGACCCCAGUGGCAUGGAGAUGGGAGACUCUGGUGGCUUUGUCAACACUGCUGUGGGCAAAGAUAAAACAGCCCAGGAUCUAUGCAGCAGAAUCUCUGGCAGGGAGGCAGAGAGGGUGGGAGAAGCUUCUGGUGACACAGGAACAUGGGGAAAGGCUGGAAUCUCCCAGGUUCUGCCUGCUGACAACGAAGGAAUCACACUGACUGCAGGACCCCUGGCAAUGACCCCCAAGGACUUCCAUGCCAAGGAGGAGAGAGAGUGCCUCCUGAAAGAGGAUCUAAAUGGAGGAUCUCCGAAGGCAGAGCUGUCUCCAUGGAACAAACUCGUCAACAUGUACAAGCAGCGACGGAAGCUUCCUGUUCCUAAGGAAAACCCAGUGCAGCUAGAAAUGGAAGAGGGAUCCACUCUGAAUCUAACUGUUUAUGAAUUUGCAACACCUGAGCCUCAUCUCAUCUCUUCAAAAUCUUCCAGUACUGCCCUGAUCUAUAGGUUUCCUGAUGACGGAGCUGGGGAAGCUGUUGGCCACUUUGGGAGAGCCCAGGUAGACCUGAGGACAAAUGGACUGGGAGCUCCUGAAGCAGACUGAGAGCCUGCACCUAGAAGAGAUGGGACAGUGGCCCCAAGACCAAACUUAUGUUUUGAUCACGAUGAGUCUGCAAGUCCCCUUCAUCUAGCAGAUGAAGAAAGAAGAUUGAAACCUGUUCUUUGGUCCCCACUAGGCUGGUGUCUGGGACAAGGUCUGUUAGCUGCCAGCUUGUUCCUGUUUCCUCUUUCAGUGUCUACGUCUUCCCCCCUUUGAAUGUUUAUCCUCUUGCCUUCUCCUCUCCCUGCCACCUGAGGGAUGACCCCAUCUGUACUAGGCUGGCAUCCACUGUAUUUUUAGAGUAAGUGU